Molecule: ribosomal RNA, 325 nt
Filed under: uncultured eukaryote
Lineage: Eukaryota
Description: partial 18S ribosomal RNA
Rfam family: Eukaryotic small subunit ribosomal RNA
Source: RNAcentral
CCCUUAGAUGUUCUGGGCCGCACGCGCGCUACACUGACGAAGUCAGCGAGCAUGUCCUACGCCGACAGGUGCGGGGAAUCUUGUCAAACUUCGUCGUGAUGGGGAUUGAUUAUUGAAAUUCUUGAUCAUCAACGAGGAAUUCCUAGUAAGCGCAAGUCAGCAGCUUGCGUUGAUUACGUCCCUGCCCUUUGUACACACCGCCCGUCGCUACUACCGAUUGAAUGUGCCAGUGAAAAGUUAGGAUUGGGCGUGGGAGACGGCAACGUAUUCCACAUCCGAGAAAAUCUUUAAACUUUCCCAUUUAGAGGAAGGAGAAGUCGUAACA